UGAAGGUAAUUGUCACCAGAUGCC
Molecule: non-coding RNA, 24 nt
Filed under: Arabidopsis thaliana (thale cress)
Lineage: Eukaryota; Viridiplantae; Streptophyta; Magnoliopsida; Brassicales; Brassicaceae
Source: RNAcentral